Long non-coding RNA from Vigna unguiculata (cowpea), 367 nucleotides. Lineage: Eukaryota; Viridiplantae; Streptophyta; Magnoliopsida; Fabales; Fabaceae. The record is from RefSeq and is a predicted model, not a curated record.
CCAUACAAAACUUCAGUGUUGCUCCGAAUUCUGGAAUAUACAGAACAACACACCACCCUUAUAAGAUAAAUUUCCAGUUUGGUACAAAAGUUUCUCUGGUUAAUGUUAAUUUGGUUCCUGAUAUUAAACCACAAUACACACCUUUGUCUUUAUUGACAACCACUGCAUUUGAUACUGAUUAUUUGGUUGAUAUUUUGGGAUUACUGGUCGGAGUGGGGACUGAAAGAGAAUUGCAAGUUGAUGGAAAGACAACAAAAUUAAAUGUCAUAGCAAUAGAAGCUGAUGGGUUUCGAAUAGAGUGUACUUUGUUUGGUAUUUAUGUGGAUGAACUGAAUGUAUUUCUUUCGAGUGGAGAAGUACAAAAUAC